RNAcentral lists this ribosomal RNA (405 nucleotides) under Thalassiosira rotula. Its description in RNAcentral is "partial Eukaryotic small subunit ribosomal RNA". It matches the Rfam family "Eukaryotic small subunit ribosomal RNA", at positions 734 to 1139 of the family's 1831-position model. Lineage: Eukaryota; Bacillariophyta; Thalassiosirophyceae; Thalassiosirales; Thalassiosiraceae. The record is from RNAcentral.
AGCAGGGAACCAGGACCUUUACUUUGAAAAAAUUAGAGUGUUCAAAGCAGGCUCGACGCCGGAAUAUAUUAGCAUGGAAUAAUAAAAUAGGACGUGUGGUUCUAUUUUGUUGGUUUUUGGAACCGCCGUAAUGAUUAAUAGGGACAGUCGGGGGCAUUAGUACUCACAUGCUAGAGGUGAAAUUCUUGGAUUUUGUGAAGACUAACUUCUGCGAAAGCAUUUGCCAAGGAUGUUUUCAUUAAUCAAGAACGAAGGUUAGGGUAUCGAAAACGAUUAGAUACCGUUGUAGUCUUAACAGUAAACUAUGCCGACUAGGGAUCGGGCGAUGUUCUUCUUUUGACUCGCUCGGCACCUUACGAGAAAUCAAAGUUUUUGGGUUCUGGGGGGAUUAUGGUCGCAAGGCUG